Molecule: ribosomal RNA, 482 nt
Filed under: uncultured bacterium
Lineage: Bacteria
Description: partial 16S ribosomal RNA
Rfam family: Bacterial small subunit ribosomal RNA
Source: RNAcentral
AUUGAACGCUGGCGGCAUGCCUUACACAUGCAAGUCGAACGGUAACGGGCCUUCGGGUGCCGACGAGUGGCGCACGGGUGAGUAAUACAUCGGAACGUGCCCGAUCGUGGGGGAUAACGAGGCGAAAGCUUUGCUAAUACCGCAUACGAUCUACGGAUGAAAGCAGGGGACCGCAAGGCCUUGCGCGGACGGAGCGGCCGAUGGCAGAUUAGGUAGUUGGUGGGAUAAAAGCUUACCAAGCCGACGAUCUGUAGCUGGUCUGAGAGGAUGAUCAGCCACACUGGGACUGAGACACGGCCCAGACUCCUACGGGAGGCAGCAGUGGGGAAUUUUGGACAAUGGGCGCAAGCCUGAUCCAGCCAUGCCGCGUGCAGGAUGAAGGCCCUCGGGUUGUAAACUGCUUUUGUACGGAACGAAAAGCCUUCUUUUAAUACAGGAGGGUCAUGACGGUACCGUAAGAAUAAGCACCGGCUAACUACGUG